This 216-nucleotide ribosomal RNA is filed under the name Glomeromycotina sp. RNAcentral describes it as "partial small subunit ribosomal RNA". The stretch from base 87 to 216 matches the Rfam family "Eukaryotic small subunit ribosomal RNA", at positions 733 to 864 of the family's 1831-position model. The record is from RNAcentral. Lineage: Eukaryota; Fungi; Glomeromycota.
GGGUCAGUAGGUUGGUCGUGCCACCGGUACGUACUGGUCUCACUGAUUCCUCCUUCCUGAAGAACCGUAAUGCCAUUAAGUUGGUGUUGCGGGGAAACAGGACUGUUACUUUGAAAAAAUUAGAGUGUUUAAAGCAAGCUAACGCUUGAAUGCAUUAGCAUGGAAUAAUGAAAUAGGACGAUCGAUCCUAUUUUGUUGGUUUCUAGGAUUGACGUA